Molecule: RNA transcript, 1583 nt
Organism: Carya illinoinensis
Lineage: Eukaryota; Viridiplantae; Streptophyta; Magnoliopsida; Fagales; Juglandaceae
Gene name: protein FD-like
Exons: 3
Source: RefSeq, a predicted model, not a curated record
AAAAUUGCACCACUGCAUGCAAGCGAAUAUUAAUUUUUUUAUGAUAUGGGACGUGAAGCAUGUUAGUAUGCAGACCAAGUCAUCAUGGUGGGAUAUAUUGCGCUAGGAUCGUCGUAUGAUAUAUAAAAAAAUGUUCUCAUCUAUUUCUUUCCAAAUUGGGUAUCCUCACAACCACAGUCCUGCCCCUGACCCUCUCAAUGUGAGUCAUAUACUACUCCUCGUCUUAGAUUUUUAUCAUUUUAACCAUAUUCAUUGACUUUAAAUAAUUUCAUAAAUUAACAAUCUAAUAGCAAAUCAUUAAAACUAUGACAACAUAAAUUAGUGUGACAGGAAAUAAUCAUAAAAAUCACAUAAAUAGUGGCAUAAGAUCCAUGCAGCACAGAACGCAUCUUGACUCUCUCUCCCCACACCUCUGCGGCUCUGCCCUGGCCUGCGUGUGUGCGAGUUUGAGGUCAGGUCUAAAAAUAUCUGCCUCAGCUAUAGCACCAGAUGCUGUCAUCGAUGGGAGGUCCCAGAGAAACUACCUUCAACCAAACCCUAAACCUCAACAACAGAGGCUCAUCAUCAUCAUCAUCAUCAUCCGCAAAAUCACUUUCAUCCACAUCUUCAACCUCAUCGCCUUCGCCAUUCUCAACCUCCUUCCACCAAUCCAUAAGAGCCACCAAAACCAUGGAAGAGGUAUGGAAGGACAUCAGUCUGAAUUCUCUUCCUGACCAAGAAACCACCCCAAGAAUCCACGAACGUCCCCACCCAACCUCCAACUUCCGCAACGUCAUCCUCCAAGACUUUCUUGCCCGGCCCUUUAGCAAAGAUCACCCGCCGGCCAGCCUAGUCUCCACUGCCACAGAGACGGCCACUCUCUAUGGCUCUGCCUCUUUGGUGUCGCCUCCAGCCACUGUUUUGAGCUUGCAUUCGGGUUCUGAAUUUCAUUUCCUUGAUAACUCUGACCCACUAAGGCCUGACUCCCAUUUACAGCCCCAAUCCAUUUCUAAUAUCUCUCCUUUCGGUAGCCCAUUUGAGGCUUUCGCAUCCCCUACGGGCUUGCCGUCUUUUGGGAAGAAAAGAGUUCCGGAAUCUGACAGCAGCUCAGGGGAUCGGCGACAUAAGCGUAUGAUCAAGAACCGAGAGUCCGCCGCUCGAUCAAGAGCUAGAAAGCAGGAAUAUAUUUCUCUCUUCUUUCUUUUCUUCUUCUUCUCUUUUUUUAUUCGCCUACACAAACGAGUUGGAACUUGAAGUUGCUCACUUGAUGGAAGAGAAUGCAAAGCUCAGAAAACAGCAGGAACAGUUAAGAGCAGCUGCAGCCGCCCCAUUUCCCAAAAAACAUUCGCUGCAUCGAACGUCAACUGCUCCAUUUUGAUAAGGCACUCCUCGGUGCAUUCCUUCUAACAAAGUCUUUCUGUUUCCCUUCAUGAGAACAUUCCCUUUUCAUUUAGCUAUAGAGGAUAUGAAAGAGAGUAUUCAAGGGUUUUCAAUAGUUUUGUGGGUGGGUGUUCCUCUGUUCCAUAUUUUAGUGGUUUUAGGAAAGAAUGAAUGUAUGAGAAUAGUGUUUUUGCAUUCCUAAGAAACAACAACUUCGUUGUGCA